Molecule: long non-coding RNA, 862 nt
Filed under: Oryza brachyantha (malo sina)
Lineage: Eukaryota; Viridiplantae; Streptophyta; Magnoliopsida; Poales; Poaceae
Description: long non-coding RNA (OBRA_LNC002451)
Source: RNAcentral
CACAUCUUACAAAAGCAACUGUGACUCACUAGACUCGAGGAAGCCAUCAUACCAGUCAGCAACUUGGAGUUCGUUGCUACCGUGGACCUUGCCGCCGCUAUGGACAACAAAUCAGGCUUAAGCAAGACGAUGCUACUGCUUGCAGCUCCAUUACCUCUCAGUGAAGCCGUUGGCCUUGCCUCCACCGCUAUGAGCCACCGCUGCUCACCAGUCACUAGUCACCACCACCAUCAACCUUGCCGCUGCCUGGGAGAGACUAAAAGAGAUGGAUGAUGCGGGAGUAUAGGUUAACGGCCUAGGAAUUACAACUUGUUACCAAAAUGCCCCUGAGUAGGCCAACAUACACAGAUCUUAAACGCUAAUCUAAUGGCCAUAAAAAUCGACUGGAGGAUAAAAAAUUUUCAGGCGCACAUGUACUUGAAAGUUGCCUUUGCUAUUGAUCAAGCGCCUGAAAAUUUUCGAUCCUUCAAUUGAUUUUUAUGCCGUUAGAUUGGUGUUUAAGAUCUAUGCAUAUUGACCUAAGGGGCAUUUUGGUAACAUACCAUAUUUCCUAGGCCGUUAAUCUAUACACCCGCAUCAUCCAUCUCUUUCGGUCUCUCACAUGUAGCGGCAAGGUCGAUGGGGGUGGUGAUUGGUGAGCAGUGGUGGCUCAUAGUGUUGGAGGCAAGGGCAGAGGCUUCAGCAAAAGGUGAUGGAGUUGUAAGCAGUAUCAUUGUCUUGCUUGAGCCUGGUUUGUCAUCCAUAGCAUUGGCAAGGUCCACGGCAGCAGCGAACUCCAAGUUGGUGGUGUGUGAUGACUUCCUCAAGUCUAGCGAGCCAUAAUUUAUUUUGUAAGAUGGGAGUGUGAUCCCCGGUGGGAGUG